GCCAUACACAGAGGAUGUUUUUGUUAGCCAGUGGGAGAGCAGCAGACAUCUCGGACAGAUACAACCUUCACUUGAACACUGUAUGAGCGACCCAUUUUCGUGUCGUCUGGAGAUUGGACGGUGACCAGUGACUGCGCAUCUUUCGAUUCUUUACAAGGCCACCUGCUUUUGCGUGAGCUCAUAAGGGCAAAUCUGUUGGAUGGCAAUGACACUCGUCUGCACUAGUAUAGUGGCCGUGGGAUGCAAAGGACGACCGUUUCAUCCGGUGUAAAGAUGGUGCGGACAUAAUCAAAAGUUUACAAACGUGGAACUUUGCCACAGAUCUACCUUUCUUGCAGUGGCUGUCUAGCCCGCGGGGAAAUCACAACAGUAUUCUUGCACUGCUGGCAAUGAGGAAGGGGUGCAGCCAUCAGAUAGCCGG
Sycon ciliatum is the source of this 421-nucleotide long non-coding RNA. RefSeq lists it as uncharacterized. The transcript has 4 exons. Lineage: Eukaryota; Metazoa; Porifera; Calcarea; Leucosolenida; Sycettidae. The record is from RefSeq and is a predicted model, not a curated record.